This 744-nucleotide ribosomal RNA is filed under the name uncultured beta proteobacterium. RNAcentral's name for it is "bacterial SSU rRNA". It matches the Rfam family "Bacterial small subunit ribosomal RNA", at positions 28 to 769 of the family's 1533-position model. The record is from RNAcentral. Lineage: Bacteria; Pseudomonadati; Pseudomonadota; Betaproteobacteria.
AUUGAACGCUGGCGGCAUGCCUUACACAUGCAAGUCGAACGGUAACAGGUCUUCGGAUGCUGACGAGUGGCGAACGGGUGAGUAAUACAUCGGAACGUGCCCGAGAGUGGGGGAUAACGAAGCGAAAGCUUUGCUAAUACCGCAUACGAUCUCAGGAUGAAAGCAGGGGACCGCAAGGCCUUGCGCUCACGGAGCGGCCGAUGGCAGAUUAGGUAGUUGGUGGGAUAAAAGCUUACCAAGCCGACGAUCUGUAGCUGGUCUGAGAGGACGACCAGCCACACUGGGACUGAGACACGGCCCAGACUCCUACGGGAGGCAGCAGUGGGGAAUUUUGGACAAUGGGCGCAAGCCUGAUCCAGCCAUGCCGCGUGCAGGAUGAAGGCCUUCGGGUUGUAAACUGCUUUUGUACGGAACGAAAAGACUCUGGUUAAUACCUGGGGUCCAUGACGGUACCGUAAGAAUAAGCACCGGCUAACUACGUGCCAGCAGCCGCGGUAAUACGUAGGGUGCGAGCGUUAAUCGGAAUUACUGGGCGUAAAGCGUGCGCAGGCGGUUAUGUAAGACAGAUGUGAAAUCCCCGGGCUCAACCUGGGAACUGCAUUUGUGACUGCGUAGCUAGAGUACGGCAGAGGGGGAUGGAAUUCCGCGUGUAGCAGUGAAAUGCGUAGAUAUGCGGAGGAACACCGAUGGCGAAGGCAAUCCCCUGGGCCUGUACUGACGCUCAUGCACGAAAGCGUGGGGAGC